This 427-nucleotide long non-coding RNA is filed under the name Phoenix dactylifera (date palm). RNAcentral describes it as "long non-coding RNA (PDAC_LNC008780)". The record is from RNAcentral. Lineage: Eukaryota; Viridiplantae; Streptophyta; Magnoliopsida; Arecales; Arecaceae.
CGACUCGGACUUUGCGGGAGUCGACUCGGCUCUCAGACACCGAAGUACCGGUCUUCUGUCUUUGGAGUUGAACUGCCUUGGAGUCGACUCGGACUUUGCGGGAGUCGACUCGGCUCUCAGACACGAAGUUGGCUCUCUGACUUUUAGCCUUGCAUUUCUCUGAGAGUCGACUCUUGCUUCCUUAGGAGUCGACCUGCCAACCGUCGGAGUCGACUCGAGUUCUUCGGGAGUCAACUCGGCUCUCAGAGUCCAAAAUGGCUUUUCUGUCUUUCUGUCUGUUACUCCAUGGAGUCGACUCGUACUUUGCUGGAGUCGACUCGGCAAACAUCGGGGUCGACUCGAAUUCUUUCGGAGUCGACUCGGUGACAGGUUCUGAGAUAUAUCUUUCUGUCCGGCUGUCUGUUCUCAGUCGGAGUCGACUCGUAAU